CGCACAGCGAAAGGUGCUUGCACCUUUCAAGUGAGUGGCGAACGGGUGAGUAACACGUGGACAACCUGCCUCAAGGCUGGGGAUAACAUUUGGAAACAGAUGCUAAUACCGAAUGAAACUUAGUGUCGCAUGACACGAAGUUAAAAGGCGCUUUGGCGUCACCUAGAGAUGGAUCCGCGGUGCAUUAGUUAGUUGGUGGGGUAAAGGCCUACCAAGACAAUGAUGCAUAGCCGAGUUGAGAGACUGAUCGGCCACAUUGGGACUGAGACACGGCCCAAACUCCUACGGGAGGCUGCAGUAGGGAAUCUUCCACAAUGGGCGAAAGCCUGAUGGAGCAACGCCGCGUGUGUGAUGAAGGCUUUCGGGUCGUAAAGCACUGUUGUAUGGGAAGAACAGCUAGAAUAGGGAAUGAUUUUAGUUUGACGGUACCAUACCAGAAAGGGACGGCUAAAUACGUGCCAGCAGCCGCGGUAAUACGUAUGUCCCGAGCGUUAUCCGGAUUUAUUGGGCGUAAAGCGAGCGCAGACGGUUGAUUAAGUCUGAUGUGAAAGCCCGGAGCUCAACUCCGGAAUGGCAUUGGAAACUGGUUAACUUGAGUGCAGUAGAGGUAAGUGGAACUCCAUGUGUAGCGGUGGAAUGCGUAGAUAUAUGGAAGAACACCAGUGGCGAAGGCGGCUUACUGGACUGUAACUGACGUUGA
RNAcentral lists this ribosomal RNA (700 nucleotides) under uncultured bacterium. Its description in RNAcentral is "bacterial SSU rRNA". It matches the Rfam family "Bacterial small subunit ribosomal RNA", at positions 63 to 749 of the family's 1533-position model. The record is from RNAcentral.